This 633-nucleotide ribosomal RNA is filed under the name uncultured bacterium. RNAcentral's name for it is "bacterial SSU rRNA". It matches the Rfam family "Bacterial small subunit ribosomal RNA", at positions 201 to 812 of the family's 1533-position model. The record is from RNAcentral.
UUAAAGACGGGGAUCCUUCGGGACCUGUCGCUUGAGGAGGAGUCCGCGUCCCAUCAGCUUGUUGGUAAGGUAAUGGCUUACCAAGGCUAAGACGGGUAGCUGGUCUGAGAGGACGAUCAGUCACACUGGGACUGAAACACGGCCCAGACUCCUACGGGAGGCAGCAGUGGGGAAUAUUGCGCAAUGGGCGAAAGCCUGACGCAGCGACGUCGCGUGAGGGAAGAAGGCUCUCGGGUCGUAAACCUCUGUCGGAGGGGAAGAACGUGUAGAUGAUUAAUACUCAUUUGCAUUGACGGUACCCUCAAAGGAAGCAUCGGCUAACUACGUGCCAGCAGCCGCGGUAAUACGUAGGAUGCGAGCGUUGCUCGGAAUUAUUGGGUGUAAAGCGCGUGUAGGUGGUUUGACAAGUCAGUGGUGAAAGCCCUCGGCUCAACCGGGGAACUGCCUCUGAAACUGUCAAACUCGAGUACUGGAGAGGAAGGUGGAAUUCCUGGUGUAGCGGUGAAAUGCGUAGAUAUCAGGAGGAACAUCGGUGGCGAAGGCGGCCUUCUGGACAGAUACUGACACUCAGACGCGAAAGCGUGGGGAGCAAACAGGAUUAGAUACCCUGGUAGUCCACGCCCUAAACGAUGG